AACGAACGCUGGCGGCAUGCCUAACACAUGCAAGUCGAACGAGACCUUCGGGUCUUUUGGCGCACGGGUGCGUAACGCGUGGGAACCUGCCCUUAGGUUCGGAAUAACUCCCCGAAAGGGGUGCUAAUACCGGAUAAUGUCUUCGGACCAAAGAUUUAUCGACUUUGGUUGGGCCCGCGUUGGAUUAGCUAGUUGGUAGGGUAAAAGCCUACUAAGGCGACGAUCCAUAGCUGGUCUGAGAGGAUGAUCAGCCACACUGAGACUGAGACCCGGCCCAGACUCCUACGGGAGGCAGCAGUGGGGAAUAUUGGACAAUGGGCGAAAGCCUGAUCCAGCAAUGCCGCGUGAGUGAUGAAGGCCGUAGGGUUGUAAAGCUCUUUUACCCGGGAUGAUAAUGACAGUACCGGGAGAAUAAGCUCCGGCUAACUCCGUG
RNAcentral lists this ribosomal RNA (433 nucleotides) under uncultured bacterium. RNAcentral's name for it is "partial 16S ribosomal RNA". It matches the Rfam family "Bacterial small subunit ribosomal RNA", at positions 29 to 507 of the family's 1533-position model. The record is from RNAcentral.